This 253-nucleotide ribosomal RNA is filed under the name uncultured bacterium. RNAcentral describes it as "partial 16S ribosomal RNA". It matches the Rfam family "Bacterial small subunit ribosomal RNA", at positions 524 to 776 of the family's 1533-position model. The record is from RNAcentral.
UACGAAGGGGGCUAGCGUUGCUCGGAAUCACUGGGCGUAAGGCGCACGUAGGCGGCUUGUUAAGUCAGGGGUGAAAUCCUGGAGCUCAACUCCAGAACUGCCUUUGAUACUGGCGAGCUUGAGUCCGGGAGAGGUGAGUGGAACUGCGAGUGUAGAGGUGAAAUGCGCAGAUAUUAGGAAGAACACCGGUGGCGAAGGCGGCUCUCUGGAACGGUACUGACGCUGAGACGCGAAAGCGUGGGGAGCAAACAGG